Molecule: unclassified non-coding RNA, 165 nt
Filed under: soil metagenome
Description: partial internal transcribed spacer 1
Source: RNAcentral
ACGAGUUUUAAUUGUUAAGGGUUGGAGUUGAGCUGGUUAAUCUAAUUAAUAUGUGCUUACUCUAAUCGAAACAAGUCCACUCAGUUACCUUAACACCUUGUGAACUUAUUCAUUACAAACAUUAUUAUUUGUUAUUGAGAACGUUUGAUUAUUAAAAAGUUAAUA